CAAGUGUGCCAAAGAAUCUCGUCGAGACGCAUGCAUACUGGCCGGAUGGCCCGCGCCGUGUUUUGGGGUUUGUUUUGCCGCCGCCCGUAGCAGGGCUUACUAUCAUAAUUUCUUAUUAUUGCAGUAUCGAAGGACGGCAACCGACGGGCGCCCUAUGGUGAUAAACAUUGGAAGCAAUGCGUGCAAGACGGCGGCAGUGGAGUGACCUGCUCUAUGUCUGCCAAACAACCGCAGCACGUGUGCUGCGAGUGCAACAAAUAACUUGGAUGAAGACAAUAACAGAUCAGGCAUUUGUAGCAACUGUACCUUUAUGAUGGUGAUGGCGACCUAUCCUGGAUGCUCUUUUGAAGAAAUGAGACAAACUUGAUCGAAAUAAAAUUUGCAAGCAUAGCUUGUUCAUAAA
Molecule: long non-coding RNA, 403 nt
Filed under: Dermacentor andersoni
Lineage: Eukaryota; Metazoa; Arthropoda; Arachnida; Ixodida; Ixodidae
Description: uncharacterized LOC126533512
Source: RNAcentral